RNAcentral lists this long non-coding RNA (372 nucleotides) under Fukomys damarensis (Damara mole-rat). RNAcentral describes it as "lncRNA (ENSFDAG00000028789.1)". The record is from RNAcentral. Lineage: Eukaryota; Metazoa; Chordata; Mammalia; Rodentia; Bathyergidae.
CUCCGAUAGAUAAGUUGACAUCUUUCCCAGUGUUCUCAGGAUACUUUGUUUCUGUACUGUAAUCCAGUUAAUACUGUUUUAUAAUCCUAUUUGCUCAACUAGUAUCCUACACUAAAAUGUAAGUGCUUGAAAUAGGAAAUAUCGCCGGGAAGUUAGGCCGGCCCGAUCCACCAUGGGAAGGAGAACCACGCCUGCUCCCGACCCAGCAGCCAUCGCUCAAGCGCCAGGAAGGCAAAGAUACCAAGGGCCUUAAUACAUGAAACUUUCAAAGUCCCAAGCCACAUAAGAAGUUUGGACAAUUCUCGGCUAAGCACACAAGCUUCUGAGUUUGUAUUGAAACUUGUUAGAACUCUGAACCUUUGCAAAUUCCCC